UGGGGAAUUUUGGACAAUGGGGGCAACCCUGAUCCAGCCAUGCCGCGUGCGGGAAGAAGGCCUUCGGGUUGUAAACCGCUUUUGUUCGGGAAGAAAAGGCGCCUUCUAAUACAGGGCGUUCUUGACGGUACCGGGAGAAUAAGCACCGGCUAACUACGUGCCAGCAGCCGCGGUAAUACGUAGGGUGCGAGCGUUAAUCGGAAUUACUGGGCGUAAAGCGUGCGCAGGCGGUGAGUUAAGUCUGAUGUGAAAGCCCCGGGCUCAACCUGGGAAUGGCAUUGGAAACUGGCUCGCUGGAGUGUGGCAGAGGGGGGCGGAAUUCCGCGUGUAGCAGUGAAAUGCGUAGAGAUGCGGAGGAACACCGAUGGCGAAGGCAGCCCCCUGGGCCAACACUGACGCUCAGGCACGAAAGCGUGGGGAGCAAACAGG
Molecule: ribosomal RNA, 429 nt
Filed under: uncultured bacterium
Lineage: Bacteria
Description: bacterial SSU rRNA
Rfam family: Bacterial small subunit ribosomal RNA
Source: RNAcentral